CUCCUACGGGAGGCAGCAGUGGGGAAUCUUCCGCAAUGGGCGCAAGCCUGACGGAGCAACGCCGCGUGAGUGAGGAAGGCCUUCGGGUUGUAAAACUCAGUCACCUGGGAAGAGAGGUAUGGGGAGUGGAAUGCCCCAUACGAGACGGUACCAGGGGAGGAAGCCCCGGCUAACUACGUGCCAGCAGCCGCGGUAAUACGUAGGGGGCAAGCGUUGUCCGGAAUCACUGGGCGUAAAGCGUGCGUAGGCGGUCUUUCAAGUCCGGGGUGAAAACUCAAGGCUCAACCUUGAGAAUGCCUUGGAAACUGGGGGACUUGAGUACUGGAGAGGCAAGGGGAAUUCCACGUGUAGCGGUGAAAUGCGUAGAGAUGUGGAGGAAUACCAGUGGCGAAGGCGCCUUGCUGGACAGUGACUGACGCUGAGGCACGAAAGCGUGGGGAGCAAACAGGAUUAGAUACCCUGGUAGUCCACGCCGUAAACGAUGAGUGCUAGGUGUUGGGGGUUCAUCCCCUCAGUGCCGAAGGAAACCCAAUAAGCACUCCGCCUGGGGAGUACGGUCGCAAGACUGAAACUCAAAGGAAUUGACGGGGGCCCGCACAAGCAGUGGUGCAUGUGGUUUAAUUCGAAGCAACGCGAAGAACCUUACCAGGGCUUGACAUCCCUCUGACCGGUUCAGAGAUGGGCCUUCCCUUCGGGGCAGAGGAGACAGGUGGUGCAUGGUUGUCGUCAGCUCGUGUCGUGAGAUGUUGGGUUAAGUCCCGCAACGAGCGCAACCCUUGACCUGUGUUACCAGCACGUAAUGGUGGGGACUCACAGGUGACUGCCGGCGUAAGUCGGAGGAAGGUGGGGAUGACGUCAAAUCAUCAUGCCCUUUAUGUCCUGGGCUACACACGUGCUACAAUGGGCGGUACAACGGGAAGCGAGACCGCGAGGUGGAGCGAAACCCAAAAAGCCGUUCGUAGUUCGGAUUGCAGGCUGCAACCCGCCUGCAUGAAGCCGGAAUUGCUAGUAAUCGCGGAUCAGCAUGCCGCGGUGAAUCCGUUCCCGGGCCUUGUACACACCGCCCGU
This 1068-nucleotide ribosomal RNA is filed under the name Alicyclobacillus sp. enrichment culture clone MRT18-28. RNAcentral describes it as "bacterial SSU rRNA". It matches the Rfam family "Bacterial small subunit ribosomal RNA", at positions 336 to 1397 of the family's 1533-position model. Lineage: Bacteria; Bacillati; Bacillota; Bacilli; Caryophanales; Alicyclobacillaceae. The record is from RNAcentral.